UGACAAGCACUGAACAGACUGCCCAGGGAAGUGGUGGAGUCACCAUCCCUGGAGGUAUUUAAAAGAGGUGUAGAUGUCGUGCUUAGGGACAUGGAUUAGU
Molecule: long non-coding RNA, 100 nt
Organism: Aptenodytes forsteri (emperor penguin)
Lineage: Eukaryota; Metazoa; Chordata; Aves; Sphenisciformes; Spheniscidae
Exons: 3
Source: RefSeq, a predicted model, not a curated record